UCCGGUUUGUCACCGGCAGUCUCCUUAGAGUGCCCAACCUAAUGCUGGCAACUAAUGACAAGGGUUGCGCUCGUUGCGGGACUUAACCCAACAUCUCACGACACGAGCUGACGACGGCCAUGCAGCACCUGUGUCCUGGUUCUCUUUCGAGCACUCUCACAUCUCUGCAAGAUUCCAGGCAUGUCAAGGGUAGGUAAGGUUUUUCGCGUUGCAUCGAAUUAAACCACAUCAUCCACCGCUUGUGCGGGUCCCCGUCAAUUCCUUUGAGUUUCACCGUUGCCGGCGUACUCCCCAGGUGGAUUACUUAUCGCUUUCGCUUGGUCGCUGACGGUCAUAUUGCCAACAACGAGUAACCAUCGUUUAUGGCGUGGACUAC
Molecule: unclassified non-coding RNA, 376 nt
Filed under: uncultured Gammaproteobacteria bacterium
Lineage: Bacteria; Pseudomonadati; Pseudomonadota; Gammaproteobacteria
Description: contains 16S-23S intergenic spacer region
Source: RNAcentral